GGGAGCGUGGCUGCGCUGAGUGGGAGAAUGCCCACCUGGCUCCGGUCCUUUCCCGAUCCUUUUUGGUGGUGAUGCUGAAACCUUUACAGCUGCAAACCAGGAAACCGUUUGCUGAAAAUGAGAUUUUCUUUCCUCAAGCAUCCCAGCUGGUCUUUAUACAGAACAGAGCCAAAACAAAACAAACAUACACAUGAACAAGGAGGACUGCAAAGAACUAUAUAUAUAACAGUAAAAAAAGAGGAUGGUUCUUUAUGCAAGAGCCUAGGCUCCCUUCUCAUUCAACAGAUAAAUUCUGAAUUUUCUCAAACAGGCCUACUCUGUUAGUUGAAUCUGAGGAGAAAACUAUUGGCACCUAGUCACUGAACAUCCUCUGAAUCUGGUGCGAGAGGAAUGCUUGUUAGCUCUUGAGUUAUAGGUUAAGCAGUAUUGCUGCAUGUAUUUUUCUGUCAAAUAUCAGUGUAGUGUCUUCUAGCAGUAGUGCUGCAUUAGAUGCCUUCUGCUAUCACAUUUAAAUAUGUGCACUUCAGCUUCAAAGGGAAAGUCCAGGAAUUGCAUACAGUUCUCUUUCUCAUCCCAAACACUGAAGGAUAAGUUUUAGCAGUUUAGGAUUUCUUGAUUCAUGACUUUCUACAGUGAGAUGCUUUUAUUCCACUAUAGUCAUGUAUUUUUUGUUCUUCAUGUGGUACAAAAGUAACAGGCUUCUCUAAAAAUAGCUUGCUUAAUUUGUGGACAUACUUAACUAAAUACAACCAGAACUUUCAGUUUGAAUUUACAGAUUGUAAUCUUAGAAAUACCUUUGAGCUGAAGUUUCUGAGAAACCUCAUCAACUUGGACCUUGUUUGAGCAGGGGGUGCACUAGAUAACAUCUAAAGGUCCCUCCCAGCAGAAAUUAUUCUAUGAUGUCGUGAGACUUAAGUAGAUAUACGACCACAUGAAGGAUGGACAUGUGUGACACGAUGGACCAAAACAGGCUUUAGACAUACUAAAUAUUUCCUUUUUUUUGUGAGAGAAUACAAAAAUUUUACAAGGAAUAAUCACAAUUUUUUUCUUUUUUUUUUUUUUUU
Molecule: long non-coding RNA, 1064 nt
Organism: Melopsittacus undulatus (budgerigar)
Lineage: Eukaryota; Metazoa; Chordata; Aves; Psittaciformes; Psittaculidae
Exons: 2
Source: RefSeq, a predicted model, not a curated record